Molecule: ribosomal RNA, 253 nt
Filed under: uncultured bacterium
Lineage: Bacteria
Description: partial 16S ribosomal RNA
Rfam family: Bacterial small subunit ribosomal RNA
Source: RNAcentral
UACGAAGGGGGCUAGCGUUGCUCGGAAUGACUGGGCGUAAAGGGCGCGUAGGCGGUUGGCUUUGUCGGGCGUGAAAUUCCAGGGCUUAACCUUGGGGCUGCGUUCGAGACGGGUUGUCUUGAGUGGGGAAGAGGGUCGUGGAAUUCCCAGUGUAGAGGUGAAAUGCGUAGAGAUGUGGAGGAACACCAGUGGCGAAGGCGGCUUUCUGGUCUGUAACUGACGCUGAGGCGCGAAAGCGUGGGGAGCAAACAGG